CGGGAUCAGAAGACUUUGGACAUUCUUAAACUUCGCCCAUUGUACCAACCAGUCUUCCAAAGAGCGAACCCUGCAGGCUCUUAAUAAUAAUGGCUUUUGUAAUUUCAAGAGAUUUGGUUCUGAAAAAACGGCGUCAUUCCAACUGCCCCCUGGUGAGCUAUCAGGGAAAGAGAACACGUUUUCCGCGUUGCUAGGGUAUGAUUCUAAAGAAGAAACUGCCACCACCAAGUGAAAACAUAAUUUUUCUCUAAGUCUCAAAUUCUGAUUUGGGUGGCCUGGGUUAACUCUCCCACCUGAUUUAUUAUUGCAAGUAAGCCCUAGAAUUUUUUUUCUUUUUUUUAAGUAUGCACACGUACAGUGAAGACAUUUCUACAGGGUAUGCCCUAUUUGAAGUCUUGCCCAGGCUCCAGACGUGCUUUUCCGGGGUAAAGUAAUUGACAUGCUUCCCGGGAGGGUGCGGACAGGCGGUACCUAUACCCAUGGUAAAGUCCCCAUCACUGUGCGUGGACUCCCAAGGCCACGCCACUUUCUCUGGAGAAACUAGCAAGGAAAAGGCAGCUGCUCUGAUGGCCAGAGGUCGAUCCAAGGCAGGGCUUUGUCCUCUGCCUGGCCUCCUGCCGCCCCCCGCCCUGCGCCCAGGCUCCGCACCCUCAACUGCCCGAACCCAGCAGCAGGCGAAGGCGCCCCGCCCCGCCCGGCGCCCGCCGCCGCCGUGGCUGCGGGUCUGAUUUGCGGCGGAACAGGUGAACUCUCCUUCCCGCAGCUGGAUGAAUAAUGAAUGGAGACGGGAGGGGAAGCCAAGAGCCCGCGGCGGUGGAUUAAGUCGUCUUCCUCCCAGUCCGCCGGCACCCUUCCCCCUCUCCAAGCACUAUCUAGACGACUUUCCCGUCUCCCCGGAGCAGGUCGGGGUUCUACACACAGGUUGGAGCCCCGGAAGAAAACCAGGAGUGAGGGCGAAGUAAGAGAAUGAAGCUAAACUCUUAUUAAUCACUUUUUCCCCCCUAGGGAAGCAGGCAGGCUCGUAGGCUCGUGCCUCUCUGUACUAGGGAGAUUUCUCUUAGUGCGUUUGAAUUGUCUACGUACAGAACGCGCUCUAUCUAGUUAUAAAAUCUUUACUGGACUUUACAGGGACACUUCCUGGGGCGAGGGGGCAGGGAGAGUGGCGAGGGCUUUAAGGUGCCGGAUUUUUGUUUCGUGGGAGCGGAGGUAUUUUUACCCAGGUAAGAGCAAUUGUUCGCUCCUCGCCUACGUUCAUGCAGUCGCUUUCCGUUGGGGGCAGCGGGGAAGUGGCAAAAAAGAGAAUCCAGUCUCGGAGAUGCCACCUCAAUUGGCCACCCACCCAACCAAAUGCACUAAGGGCAGAGAGGGAGGCGGGAGACGGGCUUGUGAUCUGAAUGCAAAACAAUCAAGGAGUAGGAAUCUUCUCAGAAAAAGCCCACUCCAGUUUCACUCCCACCCACCCAUCACCCCCAAAGAAACUUCCACCCGACCCCCAAUACCAUAAACACGCUUGACUUUUUAAACGGCACGACCUCUCCCCCCCCCGCCCCCCCCCACACACACAAGGGGGGAAGGGGGGAAAGACACCGCUCUCUCACCUUCGGAAUGAUGAGGCAAUGCCGCAAAUUCCGCCAAUGCUAGGGCCACCCCGAGCCACACUUUGAAGGCACCCAUUGCCGCUUCGACACCCACACUGGAAGAGCCCAGCCUUCAGCAUCCAAGAACCAGCUCUCGCCCCAAACACCGGCUCUGGCGCCCGGGCUGGCGCGCACCGAGAGCGGGGGUUGGCGGGCGGCUACCUCCGGGGAAAUGCGGCGCUGCCCUGGCCCCGAGUGACACUCUUCAGCAGCCCGGAGGCGCCGGGCCGCGCGGGGGAUUCAAUUCACCCACUGCCCGGACGGAGAGCGCGCUCAGGUCUCCCGCGGAGCAGCACGCCAACGUGGGCUGAGCUUGGAGAAUAAAAGAGGAGGCAGAGCGCAGUUCUCCGCUGUAGACUCGCCGGAAAGUUCCCGUCACAGGCUCAUCGGACCUCCCAGCAUUUCUCUCAGACCCGAUGCGUCCGCUCCAGGGUCCCCGGCCGUGGAGAUCCCGGCGCAGGUUGGUCCGGAGCAGCUUUUUAAAGUUCGCUUGACACUCUACGUCGGCGCUGCGUAGGCAGAGAGGGUCGCCGGGAGCCCAGAAAGACCCACCCACCCCUAGGCCGGGCCACCCGGCUCCGCGGACCUCAGCCCCCGGUGGCCGCUCUCUGGAAACUUUGUGCCGCGCUGCGGGCAGCUCCCGGACUCGGCGGCGCUGCAGCCGCACGGCGCCGCCUCUGGCCGCGCUCCCUGCAGCAGCCGGUUCGAAAGCUUCCUAGAAAAGAACGGGGGCGGCGCCUCGGGGGGCGCUGCUGCUACUUUCUCGCCUCCGCCCCUCUCCAGGGUGAGGAGGGCUGUGGGGGCGCGGCUUGCUCCACGGGGACUGCCACCUCGGCGCUGUACACCCGGAGCUAGUCUGCAGGGUUGAGGUGUGAUUACGGGAGUGCAGGAGGCGCCAUAAUUUUAAAUGCACGGAGGUAAGAGCUAGGGAGGCUGGAAGGGAUCCCGAAGUCAAUGCUGCCACUCGGACUAGAGAGCCCGCAUACGCACAAAAUAAGGCCCCCUCUGGAUCCCAGCGUUUAGAGGACACACGCUCCGCCUCCCUCCCCUCCUUCCUCUCUCCUUUGCUCGGUGUGAAAAUGGACCCAGGGACUCGGAGCUUUGGCAGAGAUUCCAGAGAGUCACGUGGGGAAGGGGAGAAUCUAGGAGGGGGGCAGUGAGGGGAGGCCGAGAGAGCAACCUGAUCCCCUUAUUCGUUCUGCUGGAGUACAUAUUGCCUUUGUCUGGGGCGAGAUCAAAAGUGGUCACACCAGGGUGGGCAGGGGGAGGGGGAGGCGGUGAUGGGUGGUCCUUGCUCACUGAGAACCUGCCAACCGGGUCCUCACCUCUCGAUUCAGGAGGGACCCAUCCGGGAGGGGGUUUUACCAGCAUUCAAAGGCCCUGUCGCUAUCCUCCACCCCCACACCCCGCCACUCCUGCUGGACUAAGUGCGUGAGGCGGACCUGAUCCACCUUGGUGGUUCUGAGACCCUCCUGUUGUCCCACCAUGGGUUUUACCAGCAACCUGCGAGGGUCUUGGCUUGUGUGUCCUAGGCAGGGCCUCCCACCGGGCCGGGAAUGCACCUUUACCUCUGGCAGAGAGACUGUCAGUGGAACACUGGGCGGUCUAGGCGAGGUGGCUCCAGCUGCGCCCCCAAAUGCCAGUGAGUGGGAAGUAAACCUCUGGGCUACGCAGACUGGGGCGCACACUUGAAGAGUGGAGUCAGGACUGAGUGACGACAGCAAUUUUUAUAUGACCAAAUAAAAAGAGCUGGUCUUGGGUUAAUCGCUUUACGAUGAGAAUGGUUGCCUCAAGAGAGAUGCUGGCUGGGAUCUGACUGACCCGGAGGAAACACGUCCUGGUUCCUUUAGUUGACCUGACUUGGGUGAACGUGUGGAAGGGGAGUUUGCCCAAGCUGCACACGCUAGGCUGUGAAACAGUGGGGGGGGGGGGGGGGGGGGCACUUGUUUUCAGUCUUUACAACCAUCCUAAAGGUGGGCCAACGUGCUAAUGCUCUCAGCCGCAACUUGGAGCAAGUGUAACUUAGUUAUGUUAUAAGUUGUAACUGACGGAUAUCUGCCAUCCCUGUAUGUAUUCCUAUUUAGCUAGAGCAAAAUGGGAACCUCUAAAAACCGGGCACUGACUUUUGAGUUUUUAGAGGAGCCAGGGGGUUUGCAUCUCACCCUCAGUCUCUCCUGGGUUGCGGGGGUCUCAGGAACAGAGUAUGUUUAUCACCUUUGUACCUGAAACACAGAGUAGUAGAUGCUCAUUAAACGUUUGUUGAAAGAACGGACUGAGUAAAAUAGUCCCUAAAAGCAGUGGCCACAUCAAGUGCAGUGGGGCCCCAAAAAAGACCCCUCCUCUUCUUUCAUUUAGAAAAACCUGCCCUCCCCC
Leopardus geoffroyi (Geoffroy's cat) is the source of this 4010-nucleotide long non-coding RNA. RefSeq lists it as uncharacterized. Lineage: Eukaryota; Metazoa; Chordata; Mammalia; Carnivora; Felidae. The record is from RefSeq and is a predicted model, not a curated record. The transcript is spliced from 2 exons.